GACGAACUGUCCUAACGUUGUUCGGAAUCACUGGGCUUAAAGGGCGCGUAGGCGGUCCAGCAAGUCAGGGGUGAAAUCCUGCAGCUCAACUGCAGAAGUGCCUUUGAUACUGUUGGUCUUGAGGGAGAUAGGGGUGUGCGGAACUCACAGUGGAGCGGUGAAAUGCGUUGAUAUUGUGAGGAACGCCGGAGGCGAAAGCGGCGCACUGGAUCUCUUCUGACGCUGAGGCGCGAAAGCUAGGGGAGCAAACGGG
Molecule: ribosomal RNA, 253 nt
Filed under: uncultured bacterium
Lineage: Bacteria
Description: partial 16S ribosomal RNA
Rfam family: Bacterial small subunit ribosomal RNA
Source: RNAcentral